GCCUAACACAUGCAAGUCGAACGGUAGCACAGAGAGCUUGCUCUUGGGUGACGAGUUGGCGGACGGGUGAGUAAUGUCUGGGAAACUGCCCGAUAGAGGGGGAUAACUACUGGAAACGGUAGCUAAUACCGCAUAACCUCGUAAGAGCAAAGUGGGGGACCUUCGGGCCUCACGCUAUCGGAUGUGCCCAGAUGGGAUUAGCUAGUAGGUGGGGUAAUGGCUCACCUAGGCGACGAUCCCUAGCUGGUCUGAGAGGAUGACCAGCCACACUGGAACUGAGACACGGUCCAGACUCCUACGGGAGGCAGCAGUGGGGAAUAUUGCACAAUGGGCGCAAGCCUGAUGCAGCCAUGCCGCGUGUAUGAAGAAGGCCUUCGGGUUGUAAAGUACUUUCAGCGGGGAGGAAGGCGAUGAGGUUAAUAACCUCGUCGAUUGACGUUACCCGCAGAAGAAGCACCGGCUAACUCCGUGCCAGCAGCCGCGGUAAUACGGAAGGGUGCAAGCGUUAAUCGGAAUUACUGGGCGUAAAGCGCACGCAGGGCGGUCUGUCAAGUCAGAUGUGAAAUCCCCGGGCUUAACCUGGGAACUGCAUUUGAAACUGGCAGGCUAGAGUCUUGUAGAGGGGGGGUAGAAUUCCAGGUGUAGCGGUGAAAUGCGUAGAGAUCUGGAGGAAUACCGGUGGCGAAGGGCGGCCCCCUGGACAAAGACUGACGCUCAGGUGCGAAAGCGUGGGGAGCAAACAGGAUUAGAUACCCUGGUAGUCCACGCUGUAAACGAUGUCGACUUGGAGGUUGUGCCCUUGA
RNAcentral lists this ribosomal RNA (803 nucleotides) under Erwinia sp. RNAcentral's name for it is "bacterial SSU rRNA". It matches the Rfam family "Bacterial small subunit ribosomal RNA", at positions 46 to 835 of the family's 1533-position model. Lineage: Bacteria; Pseudomonadati; Pseudomonadota; Gammaproteobacteria; Enterobacterales; Erwiniaceae. The record is from RNAcentral.